AUUUCCCUGCUCGGCUCGUGAUGGAGUGGUUGUUUUUGAGCCAACACAUCUUUUAUGGGAAGCCCAGUCUAUUCAUGGUGUGCGAACCUCCCUCGAGGAGGGGGCCUGAAGUGAAAGCAGGCGUCCCGACCUGGUAAGCCAGGUUCAAAAGAUCCGUUCCACACGGCUUUGUGGGGAUUCA
This 181-nucleotide non-coding RNA is filed under the name Acidobacteriota bacterium. RNAcentral's name for it is "Acidobacteria bacterium 6S RNA". It matches the Rfam family "6S / SsrS RNA". Rfam says of the family: E. coli 6S RNA was the first non coding RNA to be sequenced, but its function was unknown until recently. Lineage: Bacteria; Pseudomonadati; Acidobacteriota. The record is from RNAcentral.